AUGAACGCUGGCGGCGUGCCUAAUACAUGCAAGUCGAGCGAACAGACGAGGAGCUUGCUCCUCUGACGUUAGCGGCGGACGGGUGAGUAACACGUGGAUAACCUACCUAUAAGACUGGGAUAACUUCGGGAAACCGGAGCUAAUACCGGAUAAUAUAUUGAACCGCAUGGUUCAAUAGUGAAAGACGGUUUUGCUGUCACUUAUAGAUGGAUCCGCGCCGCAUUAGCUAGUUGGUAAGGUAACGGCUUACCAAGGCGACGAUGCGUAGCCGACCUGAGAGGGUGAUCGGCCACACUGGAAUUGAGACACGGUCCAGACUCCUACGGGAGGCAGCAGUAGGGAAUCUUCCGCAAUGGGCGAAAGCCUGACGGAGCAACGCCGCGUGAGUGAUGAAGGUCUUCGGAUCGUAAAACUCUGUUAUUAGGGAAGAACAAAUGUGUAAGUAACUAUGCACGUCUUGACGGUACCUAAUCAGAAAGCCACGGCUAACUACGUG
This 496-nucleotide ribosomal RNA is filed under the name uncultured bacterium. Its description in RNAcentral is "partial 16S ribosomal RNA". It matches the Rfam family "Bacterial small subunit ribosomal RNA", at positions 29 to 507 of the family's 1533-position model. The record is from RNAcentral.